This is a long non-coding RNA of Oxyura jamaicensis (ruddy duck), 639 nucleotides long. RefSeq lists it as uncharacterized. Lineage: Eukaryota; Metazoa; Chordata; Aves; Anseriformes; Anatidae. The record is from RefSeq and is a predicted model, not a curated record. The transcript is spliced from 3 exons.
UGUGUUUCUUUAGCCUUUAGCUCCUUCUGUUUCAAUGUCCUUUAUUAGAGCAAAUUUCUAUGUGUAAAAUGUGACACGCUUAAGUUUUUAACCCUUCAUCAGUCAGCUUUUUCUGUUUUAAGUCUGUUUUUCCUUGAAAUGUGAUCAAAACUGUAAUGUAGGGUCUGCCUUAAGGUUUUCGGUUUUGUUUGAAAAGCUGUAUGCAGGAAAUGUGGAAGGAAUGGGAAAUGCAUAUAGCUGAGUAGGAAAAUAUCUUCCACGGACUGCAAUAGGAAGAUUCCACUUUCCUUGAGGUCUGCAAAGUUUGGAAGCUUAAAUGGCUCUCACCUGUUGGAGUUUGUGCACCUCUUCUGGAUGUAGACAGGCUGUGCAGUAAUUUCAGAGGACCACCUCAGGGUGAACGCCAGGUGAAGGCAGAAGUUAGCAUCCUUCCUGUGACCAGCACUGAACCAUGAUUUUGAGGCAUUUCUGCCUCUUGUGCCUGAUCUUGGCUUCCUUUGCUUUGCCUUUAAGCUUUUUCACAGGUCAAUAAAUGGCACCUCAGGCUGCCAAUGGAGAAGGUUGUCACUGUCGUGAAAGACAGCUGAUGUGUGUUUGCCUGAAAAAUCAACAAAAAUAAACUUAUCAGCAGAGUGUGGA